CCUACGGGAGGCAGCAGUGAGGAAUCUUGCGCAAUGGGCGAAAGCCUGACGCAGCGACGCCGCGUGGACGAUGAAGGCCUUCGGGUCGUAAAGUCCUGUCGGGUGGGAAGAAUUGGUCUGGGGCUAAUAUCCCCAGGCCUUGACUGUACCACCAGAGGAAGCCCCGGCUAACUCCGUGCCAGCAGCCGCGGUAAU
This 195-nucleotide ribosomal RNA is filed under the name uncultured bacterium. RNAcentral describes it as "partial 16S rRNA". It matches the Rfam family "Bacterial small subunit ribosomal RNA", at positions 338 to 524 of the family's 1533-position model. The record is from RNAcentral.